GGCGGGGGGGCGUGUCCGGGGGGGCGGAGCCGGGUCCCGCGGCUGAAGCGUGUGCUCGCGUGUGCGUGGCGUGUGCGUGGCACCUGUGCACGAGACGUGUUGGAGGCGUGUGUGAGGCAUGUUGGCAGCGUGUGGGAGGCGUGUCAGAAGCAUGUUGAGGCAUGUCAGAGGUGUGUGGAGGUGUGUGUUGGCGUGUGUUCACGUGUGGAGGUGUGUCGGAAGCGUGUGUUGCGUGUGCUGGCACAUGCUGGCGUGUGCUGGCAUGUCGGAAGUGUGUCGGAAGUGUGUGGGAGGCRUGUGUUGGCGUGUGUUGGCGUGUCAGAGGUGUGUCAGAAGGAUGUGGAGGUGUGUUGGUGUGUUGCAGGCGUGUGUUGGCAUGUCAGAAGCGUGUCGGAAGCGUGUCGGAGGCAUGCAUUCACUUGUGUUGCAUGCGUUGGCGUGUCAGAAGCGUGUCAGAGGCAUGUCGAGGCGUGUUGGAGGUGUGUGUUGGUGUGCGUUGGCAUGCGUUGGCGUGUCAGAAGCGUGUGGAGGCACGUUGGCAUGUCGGAAGUGUCGGAGGCGUGUGGGAAGCAUGUGGGAAGCGUGUCAAGGCAUGUGGGAAGAGUGUGGGAAGCAUGUUGAGGCAUGUGGGAAGCGUGUCAAGGCGUGUCGAGGUGUGUCAGAAGUAUGUUCGAGGCGUGUGGGAGGCAUGUGUUGGCGUUUGUUGGCAUGUCGGAGGUGUGUCAGAAGCAUUUGGAGGUGUGUGCCAGUGUGUUGGCGUGUCGGAAGUGUGUCGGAGGUGUGUUGCAUGUGUUGGCGUGUCAGAAGCGUGUCAGAGGCAUGUCGAGGCGUGUUGGAGGUGCGUGUUGGCAUGCGUUGGCGUGAGUUGGUGUGUCAAAAGCGCGUGGAGGCACGUUGGCAUGUCGAGGCAUGUCAGCAGCAUGUCAGAAGCGUGUCGAGGUGUGUCGGAAGUGUGUGGGAAGUGUGUCRGGGYGUGUGGGAAGCAUGUGGGAAGUGUGUCGGAGGCGUGCAUUGACGUGUGUUGCGUGCGUUGGCAUGUCAGAAGUGUGCCAGAGGCAUGUCGAGGC
This 1067-nucleotide long non-coding RNA is filed under the name Apteryx owenii (little spotted kiwi). RNAcentral describes it as "lncRNA (ENSAOWG00000015176.1)". Lineage: Eukaryota; Metazoa; Chordata; Aves; Apterygiformes; Apterygidae. The record is from RNAcentral.